This 405-nucleotide ribosomal RNA is filed under the name uncultured bacterium. RNAcentral's name for it is "partial 16S ribosomal RNA". It matches the Rfam family "Bacterial small subunit ribosomal RNA", at positions 30 to 526 of the family's 1533-position model. The record is from RNAcentral.
AUUGAACGCUGGCGGCAGGCUUAACACAUGCAAGUCGAACGAGUGGCGGACGGGUGAGUAAUGCUUGGGAAUCUAGCUUAUGGAGGGGGAUCACUACGGGAAACUGUAGCUAAUACCGCGUACCAUAGGAUGAGCCCAAGUGGGAUUAGGUAGUUGGUGAGGUAAAGGCUCACCAAGCCGCCGAUCUCUAGCUGGUCUGAGAGGAUGACCAGCCAAACUGGGACUGAGACACGGACCAGACUCCUAAGGGAGGCAGGAGUGGGGAAGAUUGCGCAAUGGGGGCAACCUGACGGAGCCAUGCCGCGUGAAUGAAGAAGGCCUUCGGGUUGUAAAGUUCUUUCGGUAGCGAGGCGUUAACUACAGAAGAAGCACCGGCUAACUCCGUGCCAGCAGCCGCGGUAAUAC